This 465-nucleotide ribosomal RNA is filed under the name Vreelandella stevensii. Its description in RNAcentral is "partial 16S ribosomal RNA". It matches the Rfam family "Bacterial small subunit ribosomal RNA", at positions 338 to 795 of the family's 1533-position model. The record is from RNAcentral. Lineage: Bacteria; Pseudomonadati; Pseudomonadota; Gammaproteobacteria; Oceanospirillales; Halomonadaceae.
CCUACGGGAGGCCGCAGUGGGGAAUAUUGGACAAUGGGGGGAACCCUGAUCCAGCCAUGCCGCGUGUGUGAAGAAGGCCCUCGGGUUGUAAAGCACUUUCAGUGAGGAAGAACGCCUGGUGGUUAAUACCCAUCAGGAAAGACAUCACUCACAGAAGAAGCACCGGCUAACUCCGUGCCAGCAGCCGCGGUAAUACGGAGGGUGCGAGCGUUAAUCGGAAUUACUGGGCGUAAAGCGCGCGUAGGUGGCUUGAUAAGCCGGUUGUGAAAGCCCCGGGCUCAACCUGGGAACGGCAUCCGGAACUGUCAAGCUAGAGUGCAGGAGAGGAAGGUAGAAUUCCCGGUGUAGCGGUGAAAUGCGUAGAGAUCGGGAGGAAUACCAGUGGCGAAGGCGGCCUUCUGGACUGACACUGACACUGAGGUGCGAAAGCGUGGGUAGCAAACAGGAUUAGAUACCCGGGUAGUC